RNAcentral lists this ribosomal RNA (336 nucleotides) under Pericaecilius singularis. RNAcentral's name for it is "partial 12S rRNA". The record is from RNAcentral. Lineage: Eukaryota; Metazoa; Arthropoda; Insecta; Psocodea; Caeciliusidae.
CCCUAUUAUAUUUAAGAUCUAUUAAAGUAUAAGGUAGUAUUUGGUAAAAUCAGGAAACUUAAAGAAUUUGGCGGUAUUAAUUCUUAUUAGAGGAAUAUGUUUUAUAAAUGAUAAUCCACAAAUAUCUUACUUAAUUUUAUUUCUUUGUAUAUCUCCGUCUAAAAAAAUUAUUUAAAAAUAUAUUUUGAAUAUCAUUAGUGUUUUAAGUCAGGUCAAGGUGCAGGUUGUAAUUAAGAUAAAAUGUAUUACAAUAAAAUUAUUUAUGGAUUAUUCUUGAAAUUAGUUUAAAUAAAAUGGAUUUAAUAGUAAAUAUAUUUGUAUUAAAAUAUAUUGAUU